ACACAGAAGGGAGGUGGUUCGGCAGAUGUAUGCAUACCGGACGCGUGAGGUGGCUGCGGGCUAGCGGCUCGUCACCACGCUCAGUGCGGUGCCGGACCGGCACGUGAGGGAUACGUGCAGCCGGCCCAAUCCCAAGCAGUCACCCGACCCGCGAGCUGCCGGUACGUCCGGCCGGCUCCUCUCCGGAGGAACCCAGCUCGCGGGUCGUCUGCG
Streptomyces griseofuscus is the source of this 213-nucleotide non-coding RNA. NCBI's taxonomy places the organism in Bacteria, Bacillati, Actinomycetota, Actinomycetes, Kitasatosporales, Streptomycetaceae. The record is from Rfam.